RNAcentral lists this ribosomal RNA (436 nucleotides) under Eurema daira (fairy yellow). Its description in RNAcentral is "partial small subunit ribosomal RNA". The record is from RNAcentral. Lineage: Eukaryota; Metazoa; Arthropoda; Insecta; Lepidoptera; Pieridae.
AUCUUUCUAGAAACACUUUCCAGUACCUCUACUUUGUUACGACUUAUUCCAAUUUUUAAAUGAAAGUGACGGGCAAUAUGUACAUAUUUCAAUUUUUAAUCAUUUUAUUAAACUAAAUAAAAUUACAUUUAAAUCCACCUUCAAUUAAUUUUUUCAAAAUUAAUAUUCAUUUAUUUAUUAUUAUUGUAAUCCAUCAUAUUCUUAAUUAUCAUCUACAUCUUGAUCUGAAUUAAUUUUUUUUUUAAAUUUUUAAAUAUUAUUAUUUUUUAAAAAUAUUUUUUUAACAACGAUAUAUAAAAUUAUAAAUUAAGUAAAUUUAUUCGUGGACUAUCAAUUAUUAGACAGAUUCCUCUAAAUGAACUAAAAUACCGCCAAAUUAUUUAAGUUUCAAUAAAUUAUUAUUUACUAUUUUAGUUUUUUAUUAUUAAUUUUUUUU